This 253-nucleotide long non-coding RNA is filed under the name Sorghum bicolor (sorghum). RNAcentral describes it as "long non-coding RNA (SBIC_LNC015686)". Lineage: Eukaryota; Viridiplantae; Streptophyta; Magnoliopsida; Poales; Poaceae. The record is from RNAcentral.
CAGGGGGUUAUCAGGAAAUACGGAAGAAAGGCCCACACGUCGGGAUUACAUAGAGAUAUUAAUGUGCCGCGCAAUUUUCUACCAUCUAGAAGACUCCAGAAGCCACGGGAACGAACGGGAAGGCAAUCGGGCUCGGAGGCAGGGCGCCCGCCCAGCUACAGUGCCCAAUCAGGACACGUUUCGCGGAUUAUGCUCCACCGACCUAAAGAAUCAAGGAAAACCGUGCGAUCAAUGUCGGUUUGAUCCGACGGCC